Molecule: ribosomal RNA, 230 nt
Filed under: Sphingomonas sp.
Lineage: Bacteria; Pseudomonadati; Pseudomonadota; Alphaproteobacteria; Sphingomonadales; Sphingomonadaceae
Description: partial 16S ribosomal RNA
Rfam family: Bacterial small subunit ribosomal RNA
Source: RNAcentral
UACUGGGCGUAAGCGCACGUAGGCGGCUUUGUAAGUUAGAGGUGAAAGCCUGGAGCUCAACUCCAGAAUUGCCUUUAAGACUGCAUCGCUUGAAUCCAGGAGAGGUGAGUGGAAUUCCGAGUGUAGAGGUGAAAUUCGUAGAUAUUCGGAAGAACACCAGUGGCGAAGGCGGCUCACUGGACUGGUAUUGACGCUGAGGUGCGAAAGCGUGGGGAGCAAACAGGAUUAGA